CCUACGGGAGGCAGCAGUGGGGAAUAUUGCACAAUGGGGGAAACCCUGAUGCAGCGACGCCGCGUGAGUGAAGAAGUAAUUCGUUAUGUAAAGCUCUAUCAGCAGGGAAGAAAAUGACGGUACCUGAGUAAGAAGCCCCGGCUAACUACGUGCCAGCAGCCGCGGUAAUACGUAGGGGGCAAGCGUUAUCCGGAUUUACUGGGUGUAACGGGAGCGUAGACGGCAGUGCAAGUCUGGAGUGAAAGGCGGGGGCUCAACCCCCGGACGGCUCUGGAAACUGUACGGCUGGAGUGCAGGAGAGGUAAGUGGAAUUCCUAGUGUAGCGGUGAAAUGCGUAGAUAUUAGGAGGAACACCAGUGGCGAAGGCGGCUUACUGGACUGUAACUGACGUUGAGGCUCGAAAGCGUGGGGAGCAAACAGGAUUAGAUACCCCAGUAGUC
Molecule: ribosomal RNA, 440 nt
Filed under: uncultured bacterium
Lineage: Bacteria
Description: partial 16S ribosomal RNA
Rfam family: Bacterial small subunit ribosomal RNA
Source: RNAcentral